RNAcentral lists this transfer RNA (71 nucleotides) under Stegodyphus mimosarum. It matches the Rfam family "tRNA". From Rfam's summary of the family: Transfer RNA (tRNA) molecules are approximately 80 nucleotides in length. Their secondary structure includes four short double-helical elements and three loops (D, anti-codon, and T loops). Lineage: Eukaryota; Metazoa; Arthropoda; Arachnida; Araneae; Eresidae. The record is from Rfam by way of RNAcentral.
GCCUUCGUGGUGUAACGGUAGCACACUCGGCGCGUAUUCGAGAGGUCCAGGUUCAAGUCCCGGCAAGGGCA